UUAGAAGAAACCCUGGUGCCGAGGCGCCGGGAUAGCUCAGUAGGUAGAGAGGGCGCCCAUGUAUAGAUGUUUACUCCUUGACGCAACGCACCUGGGUUCGACUACGACCUGCGGCCCUUUGCUGCAUGUCAUUCCCCCUCUCUCUUCCCUUUAAUGUCUUCAGCUAUCCUGUCAAAGUAAAAGCCUAAAAUGUCUGAAAAAAUAAUCUUAAAAA
Long non-coding RNA from Etheostoma spectabile (orangethroat darter), 214 nucleotides. RefSeq lists it as uncharacterized. The transcript has 3 exons. Lineage: Eukaryota; Metazoa; Chordata; Actinopteri; Perciformes; Percidae. The record is from RefSeq and is a predicted model, not a curated record.